AUACGGAGGAUCCGAGCGUUAUCCGGAUUUAUUGGGUUUAAAGGGUGCGCAGGCGGGAGAUUAAGUCGGCGGUGAAAUUUUGCAGCUCAACUGUAAAAGUGCCUUCGAAACUGGUUUCCUUGAGUGUAGAUGAAGUUGGCGGAAUUUGUGGUGUAGCGGUGAAAUGCAUAGAUAUCACGAGGAACUCCGAUUGCGCAGGCAGCUUACUAAACUACUACUGACGCUCAGGCACGAAGGCGUGGGGAUCAAACAGGAUUAGAUACCCUGGUAGUCCACGCAGUAAACGAUGAUUACUAGCUGUUUGCGAUACAAUGUAAGCGGCUGAGCGAAAGCGUGAAGUAAUCCACCUGGGGAGUACGUUCGCAAGAAUGAAACUCAAAGGAAUUGUCGGGG
This 393-nucleotide ribosomal RNA is filed under the name uncultured bacterium. RNAcentral's name for it is "partial 16S ribosomal RNA". It matches the Rfam family "Bacterial small subunit ribosomal RNA", at positions 523 to 918 of the family's 1533-position model. The record is from RNAcentral.